Trametes elegans is the source of this 84-nucleotide non-coding RNA. Lineage: Eukaryota; Fungi; Basidiomycota; Agaricomycetes; Polyporales; Polyporaceae. The record is from the annotation of a GenBank genome assembly.
GGCCGGCUGGCCUAAUGGUUAAGGCGUCAGUUUCCGGUUUACGGAUUCAGCUGAAGAUUCUGGGUUCGACUCCCAGGUUGGUCG